This 439-nucleotide ribosomal RNA is filed under the name uncultured bacterium. RNAcentral describes it as "partial 16S ribosomal RNA". It matches the Rfam family "Bacterial small subunit ribosomal RNA", at positions 339 to 795 of the family's 1533-position model. The record is from RNAcentral.
CUACGGGAGGCUGCAGUGGGGAAUAUUGGGCAAUGGGCGAAAGCCUGACCCAGCAACGCCGCGUGAAGGAAGAAGGUUUUCGGAUCGUAAACUUCUAUCCCAGGUGAAGAUAAUGACGGUAGCCUGGAAGGAAGCCCCUGCUAACUACGUGCCAGCAGCCGCGGUAAUACGUAGGGGGCAAGCGUUGGCCGGAAUGAUUGGGCGUAAAGGGCGCGUAGGCGGCCUUCUAAGUCCGAUGUGAAAGUCCUGCUUUUAAGGUGGGAAUUGCAUUGGAAACUGGAGGGCUUGAGUGCAGGAGAGGUAAGUGGAAUUCCCGGUGUAGCGGUGAAAUGCGUAGAGAUCGGGAGGAACACCAGUGGCGAAGGCGACUUACUGGACUGUAACUGACGCUGAGGCGCGAAAGUGUGGGGAGCAAACAGGAUUAGAUACCCCGGUAGUC